GUAAUUAUUACAAUACUUUCCGCCAGAGAACUACAAGUGAAAAACUUGAAACUCAAAGGACUUGACGGUGUCCCAUAUCGACCUAGAGGAGCCUGUCCUAUAAUCGAUACCCCCCGUUCCACCCAACCCCAACUAGCAAAAUAUCAGCCUAUAUACCGCCGUCGACAGUCUACCCCAUGAGGGUUCAACAGUAGACACAAUAGCCUUAACGCUAAUACGUCAGGUCAAGGUGUAGCAAAUGUUGAGGAAAAGAUUGGCUACAUUUUUUAUGAUAAAAAACACGAAUUGCACUAUGAAACACUGCAUGAAGGUGAAUUUAGUAGUAAAACAGACAAGAGUGUCUGUUUUAACAACGCUCUGGGACGCGU
Molecule: ribosomal RNA, 368 nt
Filed under: Podarcis tiliguerta
Lineage: Eukaryota; Metazoa; Chordata; Lepidosauria; Squamata; Lacertidae
Description: 12S ribosomal RNA
Rfam family: Bacterial small subunit ribosomal RNA
Source: RNAcentral